GACAGCCAGGAUGUUGGCUUAGAAGCAGCCAUCAUUUAAAGAAAGCGUAAUAGCUCACUGGUCGAGUCGGCCUGCGCGGAAGAUGUAACGGGGCUAAACCAUGCACCGAAGCUGCGGCAGCGACACUAUGUGUUGUUGGGUAGGGGAGCGUUCUGUAAGCCUGUGAAGGUGUGCUGUGAGGCAUGCUGGAGGUAUCAGAAGUGCGAAUGCUGACAUAAGUAACGAUAAAGCGGGUGAAAAGCCCGCUCGCCGGGAGAC
Molecule: ribosomal RNA, 258 nt
Filed under: Escherichia coli
Lineage: Bacteria; Pseudomonadati; Pseudomonadota; Gammaproteobacteria; Enterobacterales; Enterobacteriaceae
Description: partial 23S ribosomal RNA
Rfam family: Bacterial large subunit ribosomal RNA
Source: RNAcentral